AGAGUUUGAUCCUGGCUCAGAUUGAACGCUGGCGGCAUGCUUUACACAUGCAAGUCGGACGGCAGCACAGAGAAGCUUGCUUCUUGGGUGGCGAGUGGCGAACGGGUGAGUAAUAUAUCGGAACGUACCGAGUAAUGGGGGAUAACUAAUCGAAAGAUUAGCUAAUACCGCAUAUUCUCUGAGGAGGAAAGCAGGGGACCUUCGGGCCUUGCGUUAUUCGAGCGGCCGAUAUCUGAUUAGCUAGUUGGUGGGGUAAAGGCCUACCAAGGCGACGAUCAGUAGCGGGUCUGAGAGGAUGAUCCGCCACACUGGGACUGAGACACGGCCCAGACUCCUACGGGAGGCAGCAGUGGGGAAUUUUGGACAAUGGGCGCAAGCCUGAUCCAGCCAUGCCGCGUGUCUGAAGAAGGCCUUCGGGUUGUAAAGGACUUUUGUCAGGGAAGAAAAGGACAGGGUUAAUACCCCUGUUUGAUGACGGUACCUGAAGAAUAAGCACCGGCUAACUACGUGCCAGCAGCCGCGGU
Molecule: ribosomal RNA, 524 nt
Filed under: unidentified oral bacterium AP60-22
Lineage: Bacteria
Also listed under: 1 other name
Description: bacterial SSU rRNA
Rfam family: Bacterial small subunit ribosomal RNA
Source: RNAcentral